AUGUGCUCCCCGAGUAAGAACGCAUCCUCUGGAAGUUGAAGAACAGAAAAAAACAGCAAGAGAUAAUGAGAGAGAGUACCAGUUCCUGCUGUAAUAAUGUUACAUGUAAGUAACGUUAGUUACGAUGACAUAAUAUUAUAAAUGGUAAAAUAACCAAAAUCUUACUUGUGAAAGGUAAUCCCACGCGAUCUGGUAUCUGCGCGGGUUAUUGCAACCGUAAACUGCACAAAAUACGGGCAUAAAUUGCUCGCUCUCCGUUGACUCUGGUGCUAGCGUAGAGUGAGGAGACCCAACCAAUAUGGCGGCGACGCUGGAUUACGUUCCAGCAUGUCAUGAGGCGUCUAUUAUGUCUAUCCCUGCGUCCCAAUGUUCAUACUAUCCAUCCUAAAUAGUAUGUGAGACUACAAUAAGGGUGUCCCAAAGCAUAGUAUGUUGAAAAGAGUAUGCCAAAAGUCCCCGGAUGGUCUACUAUUUCAGGUCGAUUUUUGAAGUGUGGAUCCGAGCACACUCUAAUGGCUAAAAUUGCCCACAAUCCAUUGCGCUUUGACAAAGGAUUUGGUCCAGAACUACACGAAUAAAAAGCGUAAGAAAAACUACAAACGUGGCGGAUGCGCGCGAUCGACCUUUAUGUCUACAAAAAGUGGUCGGAGUUACUAAUAAUCAACAUUUAAACUGGUCGUACCUCAGAAAUUUCUGAUGACUUGAGGGAGAAGUUCAGGCAGUUCUCUCUAGACACCGGCAUCCUUGGGGAAAACAUACUGCCAUCAAAUGGAGAAUGCUCGGCUGCGUCUCGACCAAAAGACCAAAGAAAGACAAAGACAACUUCUGCUGGUCCGAUCAUUUCACCUAAAAACAGAUGUGAAUUUGCUGGCCUUCUGUCUGCUUGGUUUUCAUCUUUUUUUUUUUUUUGUUAUUUUGUAUGGAAACAUCAGUUUUUCUUUAUGUUGUGCUCACAAUGACAAACCAAUUUGCAACUACAGAGCUGAUCCAAAUGAUGCAUUUUAAUAAAUUGAACUAAGUUUUUGAUGUUUCUGUAUUGAAGUGUGAUUAAUCCAGAUAAAACAUCAGAAAAACACUGUGUGCAACGAUACAGUCAGAAGGCUCUACAAAUCGCCAUGGUUUACCAGGGAUUUACUGUAGUAACAUUAACUGCACAAUGGUAUUGUGGCAGAAAUGUGUGGUAUUUAUAUCAAAUUUAUUAUAUUAAUGUAGACGUGUAUUAAAUGUUUUAAAUGAGUAAUGGAAUGUAAUUACACUAUAUUUGUGAUUAAGCUAUAGGCUAGCGUUUGUGCAUUUAUAAUAAAUGUAUUUAGACUACUGUUUUACAUAUAAAUAGGCUACCUAGAAACCAUCUAGUUGGAUUUUUACCACAGUAUUGAGGUGCUAUAUGUGUGGUUUUAACUCUGGUUAUCAUGAUGUAAAUGUAUGCUACUGUGGAAGAACAAUGGUUAAUUUUAAUAGAACUCAAAGUGUCAGAAAAAUAAAAUUUCACCAUAUAAAAAAGGAGGUUGCUGCAAUUUUUUA
Molecule: long non-coding RNA, 1524 nt
Organism: Onychostoma macrolepis
Lineage: Eukaryota; Metazoa; Chordata; Actinopteri; Cypriniformes; Cyprinidae
Exons: 3
Source: RefSeq, a predicted model, not a curated record